This 2801-nucleotide ribosomal RNA is filed under the name Coffea arabica (coffee). RNAcentral describes it as "bacterial LSU rRNA". The stretch from base 2 to 2023 matches the Rfam family "Bacterial large subunit ribosomal RNA", at positions 15 to 2044 of the family's 2925-position model. Lineage: Eukaryota; Viridiplantae; Streptophyta; Magnoliopsida; Gentianales; Rubiaceae. The record is from RNAcentral.
AAGGCUUACGGUGUAUACCUAGGCACCCAGAGACGAGGAAGGGCGUAGUAAUUGACAAAAUGCUUGGAGAGUUGAAAAUAAGCAUAGAUCCGGAGAUUCCCGAAUAGGGCAACCUUUCAAACUACUACUGAAUCCAUGGGCAAUCAAGAGACAACCUGGCGAACUGAAACAUCUUAGUAGCCAGAGGAAAAGAAAGCAAAAGCGAUUCCCGUAGUAGCGGCGAGUGAAAUGGGAGCAGCCUAAAUCGUGAAAACGGGGUUGUGCAAGAGCAAUACAAGUGUCGUGCUGCUAGGCGAAGCAGCCCGAAUACUGCACCCUAGAUGGCGAAAGUCCAAUAAUCGAAAGCAUCACUAGCUUACGCUCUGACUCGAGUAGCAUAGGGCACAUGAAAUCCCGUGUGAAUCAGUAAGGACCACCUUGCAAGGCUAAAUACUCUUGGGUAAUCGAUAGCGAAGUAGUACCGUGAGGGAAGGGUGAAAAGAACCCCCAUCGGGGAGUGAAAUAGAACAUGAAACCGUAAGCUCCAAAGUAGUGGGAGGAGCCCAAGGCUCUAACCGCGUGCCUGUUGAAGAAUGAGCCGGCGACUCAUAGACAGUGGUUUGGUUAAGGGAACCCACCAAAACCGUAGCGAAAGCGAGUCUUCAUAGGGCAAUUAUCACUGCUUAUAGACCCGAACUUGGGUGAUCUAUCCAUGACCAGGAUGAACUUGGGUGAAACUAAGUGGAGGUCUGAACCGACUGAUGUUGAAGAAUCAGCGGAUGAGUUGUGGUUAGGGGUGAAAUGCCACUCGAACCCAGAGUUAGCUGGUUCUCCCCGAAAUGCAUUGAGGCGCAGCAGUUGACUAGACAUCUAGGGGUAAAGCACUGUUUCGGUGCGGGCCGCAAGAGCGGUACCAAAUCGAGGCAAACUUUGAAUACUAGAUAUGAUCUCAAAAUAACAGGGGUCAAGGUCGACCAGUGAGACGAUGGGGGAUAAGCUUCAUCGUCGAGAGGGAAACAACCCGGAUCACCAGCUAAGGCUCUUAAAUGACCGCUCAGCGAUAAAGGAGGUAGGGAUGCAGAGACAACCAGGAGGUUUGUCUAGAAGCAGCCACCCUUGAAAGAGGGCGUAAUAGCUCACUGAUCGAGCGCUCUUGUGCCAAAGAUGAACGAGGCUAAACGAUCUGCCGAAAUUGUGGGAUGUAAAAAUACAUCGGUAGGGGAGCGUUCUGCCUUAGAGAGAAGCCUCCGCACGAGCAGUGGUGGAUGAAGCGGAAGUGAGAAUGUCGACUUGAGUAACGCAAACAUUGGUGAAAAUCCAAUGCCCUGAAAACCUAAGGAUUCCUUCGUAAGGUUCGUCCAUGGGGGGUGAGUCAGGGCCUAAGAUCAGGCCGAAAGGCGUAGUCGAUGGACAACAGGUGAAUAUUCCUGUACUACCGUUUAUCAGUCUCGAGGGACGGAAGAAGCUAGAUUAAUCGAAAGAUGGUUAUCGGUUCAAAAACGUAAGGUGCCCCUUUUUUUCAGUGUAAGAAAGGGUAGAGAAAAUGUCUCAAUCCAAUGUUCGAGUACCAGACGCUACGGCGCUAAAGUAACCCAUGCCAUACUCCCAGCAAAAGUUCAAAAGACUGUAAACAAAAAGGUACCUGUACCCGAAACCGACACAGGUGGGUAAGUAGAGAAUACCUAGGGGCGCAAGACAACUCUCUUUAAGGAAUUCGGCAAAAUAACCCCGUAACUUCGAGAGAAAGGGUGCCUCCUCACAAAGGGUGUCGCAGUGACCAAGCCCGAGCGACUGUUUACCAAAAACACAGGUCUUCGCAAAGUCGCAAGACUAUAUAUGAGGGCUGACGCCUACCCAGUGCCAAAAGGUCAAAGAAGUUGGUGACCUAAUAACAGGGAAGUCGGCGACCGAAGCACUGGUGAAGGGCGACCGUAACUAUAACGGUUCUAAGGUAGCGAAAUUCCUUGUCGAGUAAGUUCUGACCCGCACGAAAGGCGUAACUGUGACUACCUCAUCUCUCCCUAAGGCGUACCCUAGGGUUUAGCGGAUCGCUUGCCUAACUCUCAUCAGGACUCACUCACUCAUUUCAAAUAGAAUAGUUUUCAACCUCAAGAGUAAAUGAAAUAACAGUUCCCAAAUUUGGAAUGUACAUGUACAUUCAUUUCUAUCUCAACCAUUCAUACAUAUCCAAAUAUAACAAGAGUUUCAAAUUCUAGUUGUACUUUUAACCCUAAUCGAGCACUAGCGCUAGUAGAAUUACAAACGUUAAAAAUCUAGACAAAACUAGCCUUUCUAACUUCACGCCUAUGUUCGUACCCCCUGUAAGGAAAACAAAACUAAAGGAAUGAGUUAAAAGUCCAGUGAGGUUCCAAAACUUCAUGCAGACUCAAGUAGCAAGUUGUUCAUAUGUAAAAACUUGGAAUAUUCAAGUAGCGAGUAUAAGAGUUCAAAUAAUUGAGCAAAACACUUCACAUAGAUAUCCAAUAUUUUCAAGUAAAAGGAUACGUGCUCCCUUGGAGCCAUUCAUUCGCCAACCAUUUUCCUUAUCCUUCCAAUAUUAGAAAACGUUUUUAUUUGCAAAUGAAAACUCUUUCAGUGUUCUUGACAUUUAUUCAUUAAUUUCAUUUCUCGCCACUAGCCAAUUCACUGGCCAGUUCUCCACCAAUCUUCGUGGUCAUAUUCGAGUAUACCAAAACACUGUUCCAAGGUCACCAGCCGCCCAACCGAGUCCACUUCUAGCUCGAGUCAACUAGCAACGAAGGGCAAGGCUCCAAUUCAGCCAAAAGGGCUUACAUCAUGCACAAGAAGCAUUCAAUCAUUGA